CGGGUGGUAAUGCCGGAUGCUCCAGUUGAUCGCAUGGUCUUCUGGGAAAGCUUUCGCGGUAUGGGAUGGGGUCGCGUCCUAUCAGCUUGACGGCGGGGUAACGGCCCACCGUGGCUUCGACGGGUAGCCGGCCUGAGAGGGCGACCGGCCACAUUGGGACUGAGAUACGGCCCAGACUCCUACGGGAGGCAGCAGUGGGGAAUAUUGCACAAUGGGCGCAAGCCUGAUGCAGCGACGCCGCGUGAGGGAUGGAGGCCUUCGGGUUGUAAACCUCUUUUAUCGGGGAGCAAGCGAGAGUGAGUUUACCCGUUGAAUAAGCACCGGCUAACUACGUGCCAGCAGCCGCGGUAAUACGUAGGGUGCAAGCGUUAUCCGGAAUUAUUGGGCGUAAAGGGCUCGUAGGCGGUUCGUCGCGUCCGGUGUGAAAGUCCAUCGCUUAACGGUGGAUCCGCGCCGGGUACGGGCGGGCUUGAGUGCGGUAGGGGAGACUGGAAUUC
This 497-nucleotide ribosomal RNA is filed under the name Bifidobacterium longum. RNAcentral's name for it is "bacterial SSU rRNA". It matches the Rfam family "Bacterial small subunit ribosomal RNA", at positions 157 to 669 of the family's 1533-position model. The record is from RNAcentral. Lineage: Bacteria; Bacillati; Actinomycetota; Actinomycetes; Bifidobacteriales; Bifidobacteriaceae.